GGGGCUGUGGCUCAGUGGUAGAGCAUCUGUGCUUGGAACGCAGGAGGUCCCAGGUUCAAUCCCCGGCACCUCCA
This is a non-coding RNA of Gekko japonicus, 74 nucleotides long. NCBI's taxonomy places the organism in Eukaryota, Metazoa, Chordata, Lepidosauria, Squamata, Gekkonidae. The record is from the annotation of a RefSeq genome assembly.